This 2327-nucleotide long non-coding RNA is filed under the name Triticum aestivum (bread wheat). Its description in RNAcentral is "long non-coding RNA (TAES_LNC008664)". The record is from RNAcentral. Lineage: Eukaryota; Viridiplantae; Streptophyta; Magnoliopsida; Poales; Poaceae.
UUUUAAGGCUGGUAGUACCUUGUGAGGACACUCGACCCAUGGAAAGGAAAGUGUAUUCCGCGGAGUAAAUUUUGGACAAAAUAGGUAUGAGUUUUAUUCCGAUAUGUCGGUUAACUCAGGAGUAUGAAGGAAUGAAGUAAUAUUGGACUUAAAGGAGGUGUAAUGUUGGGAUAUGGAACAAUUGUAACUCCCAGGAUGAGUUAAAGCCAUACAGGUGUUGAAGUGGGUCCAUAACCCACAGGCCCAGGAAAUUAAUAGGAACCAAGCAGUCCCGGGAAGAAGAAAGUGGGAAGAAGCUAUGAUUCCAUCAGCAGACAUUUCCUUAGGAGGUUACGAAAACCCAAGAGUUAUGAAUAACGAUAGAUGUUUUGUUCAGCUUGCAGAAUUAAUGGAUAUAUCUGAACUAAUUCUCUCAAGGAAAUCUCUAAAACUUUAUUUUUCAAAAACAUCAUUUACCUCUCAUCUUUUCAUAUUUUAUCUAAUAGUUCCUCUUACCUCAAACAGUUAGAAUAUACCCCGUUCCCUUUUGACCACACGGAGGAUCAACUCAAUCCGCUCUAAGAAGGAAAAGAUAUUGGACAACUGAUGACCUCUUCAAAGUAACAAGGAUUUCAUCAUGCAUUAGAAGAGUUGAAUCUGCAAUAGUUGAAGACUCCGAAGACUUGAAGAAUCUGAAUAAUUAUUUUACCUUUAGAAGACCAAACCCCUGUUAUAUACUUACGUUAGACGCGACAAUUUGUGAGUUGUCAUUUGUUUGAUGUUUUUCCGACAGCAACAAAAUAAAACCCGUUUCAUCAAAACUAUUGUUUGUAUUGCAUGUAUCUCCCUCUAUCUUCCGUAUCUCAUACCAAAACACUUGGACCCAAUAGAUGAUGAAUGAAGAUGGAGUUGUAUUUCCGAGAUCAAUGACACAACCAGAGGUAGCACAAUGGAUACGGAACAUGGAAGAUCGCAUAUAGGAUCACCAUAUUGAAGGAGAGUAUAUGGUUCCAUACACCUUACGGCGCAUCACACAAGGUGCUGCAACAUGGCGAGAGAUACAUCAAGCUAUACAAGGAUGGAAUGAAGCAAAUGCUUGGGAAGAAUUCAAGACGAUUCUACUGAGGUCUGGUUUUAUCCAGAAGCCCGGUGACAGUAAAAUGAAGCAAACUUGUGCAUGCAAGAUAUGUGGAGAAAUAGCACACACCCAGGAGGAACACAAGGAUGGAUGCCCACAUUGUGAGGAGAAUCACCCAGCAGAAGAAUGCCCGACUGGGCAAGUUACUUGUUUCCUAUGUGAAGGAACUACACACUACCCUAGUCAAUGCCACAUUUACCCCAAGGUACAAGAAAUUACCAAGCAGCAGAAAGAAGCCCUCAGGGAAAGUUUAGAAGAACACGUUAUGAAGGAAGUUGUUGAAGACCCUGAAGAAGAAGGCCUAAACAGAUUUUACUCCAACGCUUGCUAUUCAUGUGGAGAAGAAGGACAUUUUUCAGAGUAUUGCACGAGGGAAAGCCAAGAGUAUCUCAGAGACUUCCCGACAGCAGAAGUGAAGUUUGACCCUCAGGAAAUAGAAGCUUUCAUCAUUAUGGAGAAAUCCAGGAAGAGAAAACGAAGGCAUCCCUAGAACAACUCAAUUUCUGCAGAGAAGGACUUGAGUCAUAUCACUUGUUACAGGUGCAAGGAUUUAGGUCAUUACGCUAGUAAAUGUCCAGAAAAGAAGCCAAGAAUCAAAGGAGCCUACAUAAUCACGAAGAAGCCCCGAGACAUUUGUUUUCGCUGCAAGGAAGCAGGACAUUUUUCUAGGGAAUGUUCAGACCAGAAGAAAGCUGGAGCUGAGUAGUUGAGAUUUUGAUAUGGAUAAUAAGAGUAGUAGAAAGCAAUUUUAUUUUCAUAAGUUCGAUGAGUUGAAUUAUGUAAUCGAAGCCUUAGAGUUUGUAAUGAAUUCAUGAAUCAAUAAAGUUAACGUGUCAUGAUUUCAUAUGUUGAAUUGUAUGAGUUAUUACUUUACGAACACAUAUGUUGACCAUUUUUGAGGAUAUGAGAAAUAUGGUCUACGGAUGGAUUUGUGUAUUACUUUUUAAGGGUGGUAUUACCCUGUGAGGACACUCGACCCAUGGAAAGGAAAAUGUAUUCAGCGGAGUAAAUUUUGGACAAAAUAGGUAUGAGUUUUAUUCUGAUAUGUCGGUUAACUCAGGAGUAUGAAGGAAUGAAGUAAUAUUGGACUUAAAGGAGGUGUAAUGUUGUAAUAUGGAACAAUUGUAACUCCCAGGAUGAGUUAAAGCCAUACAGGUGUUGAAGUGGGUCCAUAACCCACAGGCCCAGGAAAUUAAUAGGAACCAAGCAC